AUUGAACGCUGGCGGCAGGCCUAACACAUGCAAGUCGAACGCGUGGCGGACGGGUGAGUAAUGUCUGGGACCCUGCCUGAUGGAGGGGGAUAACUACUGGAAACGGUAGCUAAUACCGCAUACCAACGGAUGUGCCCAGAUGGGAUUGGCUAGUAGGUGGGGUAACGGCUCACCUAGGCGACGAUCCCUAGCUGGUCUGAGAGGCUGACCAGACACACUGGAACUGAGACACGGUCCAGACUCCGACGGGAGGCAGCAGUGGGGAAUAUUGCACAAUGGGCGCAAGCCUGAUGCAGCCAUGCCGCGUGUAUGAAGAAGGCCUUCGGGUUGUAAAGUACUUUCAGCGGGGAGGCGUUACCCGCAGAAGAAGCACCGGCUAACUCCGUGCCAGCAGCCGCGGUAAUUC
Molecule: ribosomal RNA, 406 nt
Filed under: uncultured bacterium
Lineage: Bacteria
Description: partial 16S ribosomal RNA
Rfam family: Bacterial small subunit ribosomal RNA
Source: RNAcentral